Molecule: ribosomal RNA, 201 nt
Filed under: Triticum aestivum (bread wheat)
Lineage: Eukaryota; Viridiplantae; Streptophyta; Magnoliopsida; Poales; Poaceae
Description: partial small subunit ribosomal RNA
Source: RNAcentral
GACGGAUUCACUAAGACAGAAAUAAAGCAUUGGGUCGAACUCUUCUUUGGUGUUAAGGUGGUAGCUGUGAAUAGCCAUCGACUACCUGGAAAAGGUAGAAGAAUAGGACCUAUUCUGGGCCAUACAAUGCAUUACAGACGUAUGAUCAUUACCCUUUAACCGGGUUAUUCUAUUCCACUUCUAGAUAGAGAAAAAAACUAA